GAUGAACGCUGGCGGCGUGCCUAAUACAUGCAAGUCGAGCGAAUGGAUUAAGAGCUUGCUCUUAUGAAGUUAGCGGCGGACGGGUGAGUAACACGUGGGUAACCUGCCCAUAAGACUGGGAUAACUCCGGGAAACCGGGGCUAAUACCGGAUAACAUUUUGAACCGCAUGGUUCGAAUUUGAAAGGCGGCUUCGGCUGUCACUUAUGGAUGGACCCGCGUCGCAUUAGCUAGUUGGUGAGGUAACGGCUCACCAAGGCAACGAUGCGUAGCCGACCUGAGAGGGUGAUCGGCCACACUGGGACUGAGACACGGCCCAGACUCCUACGGGAGGCAGCAGUAGGGAAUCUUCCGCAAUGGACGAAAGUCUGACGGAGCAACGCCGCGUGAGUGAUGAAGGCUUUCGGGUCGUAAAACUCUGUUGUUAGGGAAGAACAAGUGCUAGUUGAAUAAGCUGGCACCUUGACGGUACCUAACCAGCAAGCCACGGCUAACUACGUGCCAGCCGCCGCGGUAA
RNAcentral lists this ribosomal RNA (515 nucleotides) under uncultured bacterium. Its description in RNAcentral is "partial 16S ribosomal RNA". It matches the Rfam family "Bacterial small subunit ribosomal RNA", at positions 28 to 523 of the family's 1533-position model. The record is from RNAcentral.